GACGAACGCUGGCGGCGUGCUUAACACAUGCAAGUCGAGCGGAAAGGCCCUGCUUUUGUGGGGUGCUCGAGUGGCGAACGGGUGAGUAACACGUGAGUAACCUGCCCUUGACUUUGGGAUAACUUCAGGAAACUGGGGCUAAUACCGGAUAGGAGCUCCUGCUGCAUGGUGGGGGUUGGAAAGUUUCGGCGGUUGGGGAUGGACUCGCGGCUUAUCAGCUUGUUGGUGGGGUAGUGGCUUACCAAGGCUUUGACGGGUAGCCGGCCUGAGAGGGUGACCGGCCACAUUGGGACUGAGGUACGGCCCAGACUCCUACGGGAGGCAGCAGGGGGGAAUAUUGCACAAUGGGCGGAAGCCUGAUGCAGCAACGCCGCGUGCGGGAUGACGGCCUUCGGGUUGUAAACCGCUUUCGCCUGUGACGAAGCGUGAGUGACGGUAAUGGGUAAAGAAGCACCGGCUAACUACGUG
Molecule: ribosomal RNA, 468 nt
Filed under: uncultured bacterium
Lineage: Bacteria
Description: partial 16S ribosomal RNA
Rfam family: Bacterial small subunit ribosomal RNA
Source: RNAcentral